RNAcentral lists this long non-coding RNA (584 nucleotides) under Malus domestica (apple). RNAcentral describes it as "long non-coding RNA (MDOM_LNC004860)". Lineage: Eukaryota; Viridiplantae; Streptophyta; Magnoliopsida; Rosales; Rosaceae. The record is from RNAcentral.
UACUACUAAAAUUCUUCCACCGUUCAAGCUUUCGGUCAAAUCUUAAUCUCUUUAGUAUAAUCUGCACGCAUCUUUAUCAUGUGCCUAUGCGAAGCCAAACAGUAUUUCAUGAUGAGAUCACAUGUUUAAUGAGAGGUAUUUAUCUCAAAUGGACUCUGGGUUGAUAUUUCCUUGGCUAACGAUGUUCAACUGCGACUUAAACUCUAGGAAGAAAACUGAUCCGUUUGUCAUCUAUGACUUUUCAAACAAAUUGAAAAGCCUAUCUAGGAAUCACAUCAUCACCAAAAGCCUAGCUUUCCUAGACUUCCUGUCUCAUCCAUCACCCAAAACCAUUAUUUUUAUUGUUGCAUGCAUCUUGACCCCCAACUAAAUGAAUUUUAAAUUCAUUUUGAAUUGUGCCGCACAUCCACAUCCAAACAUCCACAUUAAUUUGAAUUGUGCCGCUUUAUUUGAGAUAUAAAUCGCAUCCUAUUUAUCUGGUUUAAGAAGAUACCGAGAAGAUAAUUAUUAUGAUAAAAUCCAUAAUAUUAUCCUUUAGGAAAAAUAUCUCCAUUUUUCCAUCCGACGGUUGAGAACCAUGCUCA